This 325-nucleotide ribosomal RNA is filed under the name uncultured eukaryote. RNAcentral's name for it is "partial 18S ribosomal RNA". It matches the Rfam family "Eukaryotic small subunit ribosomal RNA", at positions 1470 to 1796 of the family's 1831-position model. The record is from RNAcentral.
CCCUUAGAUGUUCUGGGCCGCACGCGCGCUACACUGAUGCAUUCAACGAGCCUAUCCUUGACCGACAGGUCCGGGUAAUCUUUGAAUCUGCAUCGUGACGGGGAUAGAUUAUUGCAAUUAUUAAUCUUCAACGAGGAAUGCCUAGUAGGCGCAAGUCAUCAGCUUGCGUCGAUUACGUCCCUGCCCUUUGUACACACCGCCCGUCGCUCAUACCGAUUGGGUGUGCUGGUGAAAUGUUCGGAUCGGCCGUUUGUCGCGGUUUCCGCGGCUCGUGGCUGAGAAGUUCAUUAAACCCUCCCACCUAGAGGAAGGAGAAGUCGUAACA